Molecule: long non-coding RNA, 1161 nt
Filed under: Hordeum vulgare
Lineage: Eukaryota; Viridiplantae; Streptophyta; Magnoliopsida; Poales; Poaceae
Description: long non-coding RNA (HVUL_LNC015020)
Source: RNAcentral
GACAUUUGUAGGUUAACCAAAAAAACUGGAUCAACAAAAGUACUUCAUCAUUUCCUUCAACACAUGAUAUCUUUGUCACACAAUAAAUUAUUUAUUUGCAAUUUCUCAUUCGGUGUGCCAAUAAGUUUUUUUGUGCCAUCAAGAGUUGCAUCGGUGGCAAACAGUAACACGCACGUUGAGGGCAUGGUGGACGUCGAGUCCCCAGGUGAUGGAGGCCUGGCGGGUGUCGUUCCAAUCUACUAGAAGGUGCCCCGCACGUUGCGACGGGAACCUUGUUAAAAAUGUAUGGAUAAAUGGUAGAAGACUAAAAUUAAUGAAAAAACAAAUAUAAAAAUUUCUUACAUGACUUAAUUCCAUGGGAAAAAAUAAUGCACGACGUAGUAUGUUUUGCAUUAAGAGAUUAAUGAAAAAAGUAACUUAUGACUUCAUGCAUGACUUGAUGAUGUAGCAAUGUUGCAUGGAGAGGAAAAUUAGAUGGUGGGUUGUAGCUAUUUAAGAAAUGUAUGGAUAAAUGGUAGAAGACGAAAAUUAAUGCAAAAGAAAAUAUAAAACUUUCUUACAUGACUCAAUUCCAUGGGGAAAAAUAAUGCAUGAGGUGGUAUGUUUUGCAUUAAGAGAUUAAUGGAAAAAGUAACUUAUGACUUUAUGCAUGACUUGAUGAUGUGGCAUUGUUGCAUGGAGAGGAAAAUUAGCUAGUGGGUUGUAGUUAUUUAAGAAUAGAGGAUUCAGCUAUGGCCUAUUAGCUUAAUUAGUAAAGCAAUCGUUGAUUAUUCGUUCAUGGUGCUAGCGACAAACCCAAUAAUACAUAAAUAUAGGCCAUUUUGCAAAUCUGGUCUGGCUGAAAUCACAUCAUUCUCCCUGUUGUAAAUAAGUAACAUAUGAAAGUGACAAAGAAAAAAAAACAUUUGUGUAUUAGCCCAUAAUUAUUGAUGUAGAAAAAUGUGAUGCAUUGUUCAUAAUAUUGUUUUUUUCAAACAUUGUUCAUAAAUUCAAAAAAUGUUUUGGAUUUUCAAAAAAUGUUCUGGAUUUUUAAAAAACCUUCAAAUUUCAAAAAUGUUUUUGCUUCAAAUUCGAAAACAAAAGGAAAAAUAAAACAAAAAAUAACCAAAAAAUUAAAAAACAAAGGAAAUAAGAAGAAACAGGAAAAAAAAGAAAAAAAAC